AUCACUAUACCGAGGAUUGUAGUUCAGGAAAGCAAAGCCGCGUGCUUGAUCAAUGGUGUGAAAGAGCGGGUUCCAGUCAAACAUAGCCAGCAUAAAACUGGGGAGCGUGUUGGCCACGAACAUCUUUCCAGAAGCGAUCAUGUUGGCGCGCUG
This 153-nucleotide non-coding RNA is filed under the name Sulfitobacter undariae. Its description in RNAcentral is "Ruegeria cis2 sRNA". It matches the Rfam family "Ruegeria cis2 sRNA". From Rfam's summary of the family: Cis-encoded. Targets ABC transporter. The record is from Rfam by way of RNAcentral. Lineage: Bacteria; Pseudomonadati; Pseudomonadota; Alphaproteobacteria; Rhodobacterales; Roseobacteraceae.